Molecule: ribosomal RNA, 527 nt
Filed under: uncultured Anaerolineaceae bacterium
Lineage: Bacteria; Bacillati; Chloroflexota; Anaerolineae; Anaerolineales; Anaerolineaceae
Description: bacterial SSU rRNA
Rfam family: Bacterial small subunit ribosomal RNA
Source: RNAcentral
UAGGGAAUAUUGCACAAUGGACGAAAGUCUGAUGCAGCAACGCCGCGUGCACGAUGAAGGUCUUCGGAUCGUAAAGUGCUUUUCUGGGAGAUGAGAAAGGACAGUAUCCCAGGAAUAAGUCUCGGCUAACUACGUGCCAGCAGCCGCGGUAAAACGUAGGAGGCAAGCGUUAUCCGGAUUCACUGGGCGUAAAGCGCGUGCAGGCGGUUCGGUAAGUUGGGCGUGAAAUCUCCCGGCUUAACUGGGAGAGGUCGUUCAAUACUACCGGACUAGAGAGCAGUAGAGGAAGAUGGAAUUCCCGGUGUAGUGGUGAAAUGCGUAGAUAUCGGGAGGAACACCAGUGGCGAAGGCGAUCUUCUGGACUGUGUCUGACGCUCAUACGCGAAAGCUAGGGUAGUAAACGGGAUUAGAGACCCCGGUAAUCCUAGCUGUAAACGAUGUCAACUUGGCGUCGGUGGCUUAAACACUAUCGGUGCCGAAGCAAACGCGAUAAGUUGACCGCCUGGGGACUAUGAUCGCAAGAUUAA